RNAcentral lists this ribosomal RNA (253 nucleotides) under uncultured bacterium. RNAcentral's name for it is "partial 16S ribosomal RNA". It matches the Rfam family "Bacterial small subunit ribosomal RNA", at positions 524 to 776 of the family's 1533-position model. The record is from RNAcentral.
UACGGGGGGGGCAAGCGUUGUUCGGAAUUACUGGGCGUAAAGCGCGUGUAGGUGGCGAUGUAAGUCGGGUGUGAAAUCCCUCGGCUCAACCGAGGAAGUGCACUCGAUACUGUGUCGCUUGAGUGUUGGAGGGGAUGGCGGAAUUCCCGGUGUAGAGGUGAAAUUCGUAGAUAUCGGGAGGAACACCUGUGGCGAAGGCGGCCAUCUGGACAACUACUGACACUGAGACGCGAAAGCGUGGGUAGCAAACAGG